This 898-nucleotide ribosomal RNA is filed under the name uncultured bacterium. RNAcentral's name for it is "bacterial SSU rRNA". It matches the Rfam family "Bacterial small subunit ribosomal RNA", at positions 8 to 887 of the family's 1533-position model. The record is from RNAcentral.
AGAGUUUGAUCAUGGCUCAGGACGAACGCUGGCGGCGUGCCUAAUACAUGCAAGUCGAGCGAAUCAAUAGGAGCUUGCUCCUGUUGGUUAGCGGCGGACGGGUGAGUAACACGUGGGCAACCUGCCUGUAAGACUGGGAUAACUUCGGGAAACCGGAGCUAAUACCGGAUAAUCCUUUUCCUCUCAUGAGGGAAAGCUGAAAGACGGUUUCGGCUGUCACUUACAGAUGGGCCCGCGGCGCAUUAGCUAGUUGGUGAGGUAACGGCUCACCAAGGCGACGAUGCGUAGCCGACCUGAGAGGGUGAUCGGCCACACUGGGACUGAGACACGGCCCAGACUCCUACGGGAGGCAGCAGUAGGGAAUCUUCCACAAUGGACGAAAGUCUGAUGGAGCAACGCCGCGUGAGCGAUGAAGGCCUUCGGGUCGUAAAGCUCUGUUGUUAGGGAAGAACAAGUAUCGGAGUAACUGCCGGUACCUUGACGGUACCUAACCAGAAAGCCACGGCUAACUACGUGCCAGCAGCCGCGGUAAUACGUAGGUGGCAAGCGUUGUCCGGAAUUAUUGGGCGUAAAGCGCGCGCAGGCGGUCCUUUAAGUCUGAUGUGAAAGCCCACGGCUCAACCGUGGAGGGUCAUUGGAAACUGGGGGACUUGAGUACAGAAGAGGAAAGCGGAAUUCCACGUGUAGCGGUGAAAUGCGUAGAGAUGUGGAGGAACACCAGUGGCGAAGGCGGCUUUCUGGUCUGUAACUGACGCUGAGGCGCGAAAGCGUGGGGAGCAAACAGGAUUAGAUACCCUGGUAGUCCACGCCGUAAACGAUGAGUGCUAAGUGUUAGGGGGUUUCCGCCCCUUAGUGCUGCAGCUAACGCAUUAAGCACUCCGCCUGGGGGAGUACGGCC